UGGGGGAUAUUGCACAAUGGGGGAAACCCUGACGCAGCGACGCCGCGUGUAGGAAGACGGUCCUCUGGAUUGUAAACUACUGUCUUCGGGGACGAUAAUGACGGUACCCUGAGAGGAAGCCCCGGCUAACUACGUGCCAGCAGCCGCGGUAAUACGUAGGGGGCGAGCGUUGUCCGGAAUUACUGGGCGUAAAGGGCGCGUAGGCGGCCGAUCAAGUCUGUUGUGAAAGCCCAGCGCUUAACGUUGGACGUGCAAUGGAAACUGGUUGGCUAGAGUAUGGUAGAGGCAAGUGGAAUUCCCAGUGUAGCGGUGAAAUGCACAGAGAUUGGGAGGAACACCAGUGGCGAAGGCGACUUGCUGGGCCAAAACUGACGCUGAGGCGCGAAAGCGUGGGGAGCAAACA
This 403-nucleotide ribosomal RNA is filed under the name uncultured bacterium. RNAcentral describes it as "bacterial SSU rRNA". It matches the Rfam family "Bacterial small subunit ribosomal RNA", at positions 355 to 774 of the family's 1533-position model. The record is from RNAcentral.